RNAcentral lists this ribosomal RNA (162 nucleotides) under Apium commersonii. Its description in RNAcentral is "5.8S ribosomal RNA". It matches the Rfam family "5.8S ribosomal RNA". From Rfam's summary of the family: 5.8S ribosomal RNA (5.8S rRNA) is a component of the large subunit of the eukaryotic ribosome. It is transcribed by RNA polymerase I as part of the 45S precursor that also contains 18S and 28S rRNA. Functionally, it is thought that 5.8S rRNA may be involved in ribosome translocation. The record is from RNAcentral. Lineage: Eukaryota; Viridiplantae; Streptophyta; Magnoliopsida; Apiales; Apiaceae. RNAcentral also lists the same sequence under 1 other name.
AAUGACUCUCGACAACGGAUAUCUCGGCUCUCGCAUCGAUGAAGAACGUAGCGAAAUGCGAUACUUGGUGUGAAUUGCAGAAUCCCGUGAACCAUCGAGUCUUUGAACGCAAGUUGCGCCCGAAGCCAAUAGGCCGAGGGCACGUCUGCCUGGGUGUCACAC